This 355-nucleotide unclassified non-coding RNA is filed under the name soil metagenome. RNAcentral describes it as "partial contains 5.8S ribosomal RNA, internal transcribed spacer 2, and large subunit ribosomal RNA". The stretch from base 1 to 120 matches the Rfam family "5.8S ribosomal RNA", at positions 35 to 154 of the family's 154-position model. The record is from RNAcentral.
GAUGAAGAACGUAGCGAAAUGCGAUAAGUAGUGUGAAUUGCAGAAUUCAGUGAAUCAUCGAAUCUUUGAACGCACAUUGCGCCUUCUAGUAUUCUGGGAGGCAUGCCUGUUUGAGCGUCAAUAAACCUCUCUCAAGUAUGAUUACUUGGAUGUGAAGGUAGAGUACCUUAAACUUAAGGAGUGUUCUCCUUUGAAAUUGAUUAGCAGAUGGUAAUGUUAUUAAAUCCCUGAUGUUGUAAGAAAUAACAGUGGUUUUGUAGACUAUUAUCUAGCUUUAAAUUAUAAUUUUUAUUAUGGUUGACCUCAAAUCAGGUAAGGAUACCCGCUGAACUUAAGCAUAUCAAUAAGCGGAGGA